AGUAACACGUGGAUAACCUACCUAUAAGACUGGGAUAACUUCGGGAAACCGGAGCUAAUACCGGAUAAUAUUUUGAACCGCAUUGUUCAAAAGUGAAAGACGGUCUUGCUGUCACUUAUAGAUGGAUCCGCGCUGCAUUAGCUAGUUGGUAAGGUAACGGCUUACCAAGGCAACGAUGCAUAGCCGACCUGAGAGGGUGAUCGGCCACACUGGGACUGAGACACGGCCCAG
This 231-nucleotide ribosomal RNA is filed under the name uncultured Staphylococcus sp. RNAcentral's name for it is "partial 16S ribosomal RNA". It matches the Rfam family "Bacterial small subunit ribosomal RNA", at positions 109 to 334 of the family's 1533-position model. Lineage: Bacteria; Bacillati; Bacillota; Bacilli; Caryophanales; Staphylococcaceae. The record is from RNAcentral.